AUUGUAUCCACGAUUGGGGAAUUUUCCGCAAUGGGCGAAAGCCUGACGGAGCAAGACCGCGUGAGGGAGGAAGGCUCUUGGGUCGUAAACCUCUUUUCUCAGGGAAUAAGAAAGUGAAGGUACCUGAGGAAUCAGCAUCGGCUAACUCCGUGCCAGCAGCCGCGGUAAUACGGAGGAUGCAAGCGUUAUCCGGAAUGAUUGGGCGUAAAGAGUCCGUAGGUGGUUAUUCAAGUCGAUUGUUAAAGAGCGGGGCUUAACCCCGUAGAAGCAGUGGAAACUGAAUAACUAGAGAGAGGUAGGGGUAGAGGGAAUUCCCGGUGUAGCGGUGAAAUGCGUAGAGAUCGGGAAGAACACCAGUGGCGAAAGCGCUCUACUGGGCCUCAUCUGACACUGAGGGACGAAAGCUAGGGGAGCGAAAGGGAUUAGAUACCCCUGUAGUCAAUCGUGGAUACAAU
RNAcentral lists this ribosomal RNA (455 nucleotides) under uncultured cyanobacterium. RNAcentral's name for it is "bacterial SSU rRNA". It matches the Rfam family "Bacterial small subunit ribosomal RNA", at positions 341 to 810 of the family's 1533-position model. The record is from RNAcentral. Lineage: Bacteria; Bacillati; Cyanobacteriota.